UACGUAGGAGGCGAGCGUUGUCCGGAGUUACUGGGCGUAAAGCGCACGCAGGCGGUCUUGUAAGUCUCAGGUGACAGUCCCCGGCUUAACUGGGGAAGUGUCUGGGAAACUGCAAGACUUGAGGGCUUCAGAGGGACAUGGAAUUCCAGGUGGAGUGGUGAAAUGCGUAGAUAUUAGGAAGAACACCGGUGGCGAAGGCGGCCCACUGGCUCGACACUGACGCUGAGGUGCGAAAGCGUGGGGAGCAAACAGG
This 253-nucleotide ribosomal RNA is filed under the name uncultured bacterium. RNAcentral's name for it is "partial 16S ribosomal RNA". It matches the Rfam family "Bacterial small subunit ribosomal RNA", at positions 524 to 776 of the family's 1533-position model. The record is from RNAcentral.